GGAUGAACGCUGGCGGCGUGCCUAAUACAUGCAAGUCGAGCGAACAGACGAGGAGCUUGCUCCUCUGACGUUAGCGGCGGACGGGUGAGUAACACGUGGAUAACCUACCUAUAAGACUGGGAUAACUUCGGGAAACCGGAGCUAAUACCGGAUAACAUGUUGAACCGCAUGGUUCAACAGUGAAAGACGGUCUUGCUGUCACUUAUAGAUGGAUCCGCGCCGCAUUAGCUAGUUGGUAAGGUAACGGCUUACCAAGGUAACGAUGCGUAGCCGACCUGAGGGGGUCAUUGGCCGCGCAGGAACUGAGACACGGUCCAGACUGCUACGGGAGGCAGCAGUAGGGAAUCUUCAGCAAUGGGCGAAAGCCUGACGGAGCAGCGCCGCGUGAGUGAAGAAGGUCUUCGGAUCAUAAACCUCUGUUAUUAGGGAAGAACAAAUGUGUAAGUAACUAUGCACGUCUUGACGGUCCCUAAUCAGAAAGCCACGGCUAACUAC
This 495-nucleotide ribosomal RNA is filed under the name uncultured bacterium. RNAcentral describes it as "partial 16S ribosomal RNA". It matches the Rfam family "Bacterial small subunit ribosomal RNA", at positions 27 to 504 of the family's 1533-position model. The record is from RNAcentral.